This 397-nucleotide ribosomal RNA is filed under the name uncultured bacterium. Its description in RNAcentral is "partial 16S ribosomal RNA". It matches the Rfam family "Bacterial small subunit ribosomal RNA", at positions 523 to 918 of the family's 1533-position model. The record is from RNAcentral.
AUACGUAGGGGGCGAGCGUUGUCCGGAAUGAUUGGGCGUAAAGGGCGGGUAGGCGGCGCGGUAAGUCUGGAGUGAAAGUCCUGCUUUCAAGACGGGAAUUGCUUUGGAUACUGGGGGGCUUGAGUGCAGGAGAGGGUAUCGGAAUUCCCGGUGUAGCGGUGAAAUGCGUAGAGAUCGGGAGGAACACCAGUGGCGAAGGCGGGUAACUGGACUGCAACUGACGCUGAGGCGCGAAAGUGUGGGGAGCAAACAGGAUUAGAUACCCUGGUAGUCCACACUGUAAACGAUGAAUGCUAGGUGUAAGAGGUAUCGACCCCUUUUGUGCCGGAGUCAACACAAUAAGCAUUCCGCCUGGGGAGUACGGCCGCAAGGUUGGAACUCAAAGGAAUUGACGGGG